AAUCCAAACUGCAACAACAAAAUCAUUUGAUUCUUCUCACAAGUCAAGACAAAAUUUCCAAAACCUAAAAUCUUAAUUCUUAAAUUCUUAAACUUAAAUCUUAUUGGUAAAUAAUUAAUGAUUAAUAAAAAAACGAUAGCUUUCGGGAUAGUCUGGAUGGUUCAAUACAUUUCAUAGAUUUCAUAAGGUGAAAUUAAUUGUUUUGUGGUCAAUCACAAUGGCCGGUUGUUUAUGUCGUCUCAUCGGAUAAUAAAGUAAGUGGAGGACGAUUUCAUCAUUGCCAUUGGGUCCAACCGAACAUCCAGCAAACAACCGAAAGACUUCUCCAAAACCGGAAUCACAAACACUAAUGAUACUGUAUAGGAUGUGUAAAGCAAAAGUGGGUGAUAAUCCAGUUGCAGCAAAACUAUCACAACCACUUUGAGAGGAAUACUGCGGAAUCAGCGGAAUCACGCACACUUUAUUCAUUUGGAGAAGUAAAUACUCAACCAAGAGCUGUUGAAAAUAAACAAUUUUUCGUACCAGAUGCCCGACAUCCCGGGAUUCGAAUAUGAAAAGACCAGAAUUGACGACGAGGAUGAGUCUUCUGGUGAAAUUUAGGGAAUACGUUCUGCUACGACAGCAGCCGGAUAGUACAGUAGACAAUCGGCAGUCCUAGUUUCGAAAAGCGUGGCCUGUACAACAACCUCAGCAUAAUCGAGAUCAUUCCGCAUCUCAACAACAGUAUUCCCAGCACCGGAUACCUCAUUCAUGUAUCAA
Armigeres subalbatus is the source of this 759-nucleotide long non-coding RNA. RefSeq lists it as uncharacterized. The record is from RefSeq and is a predicted model, not a curated record. The transcript is spliced from 3 exons. NCBI's taxonomy places the organism in Eukaryota, Metazoa, Arthropoda, Insecta, Diptera, Culicidae.